GACGAACGCUGGCGGCGUGCUUAACACAUGCAAGUCGUACGGUAAGGCCCUUUCGGGGGUACACGAGUGGCGAACGGGUGAGUAACACGUGAGUAACCUGCCCACAACUUUGGGAUAACGCUAGGAAACUGGUGCUAAUACUGGAUAUGUGCUCCUGCUGCAUGGUGGGGGUUGGAAAGCUCCGGCGGUUGUGGAUGGACUCGCGGCCUAUCAGCUUGUUGGUGGGGUAGUGGCCUACCAAGGCGGCGCCGGGUAGCCGGCCUGAGAGGGUGACCGGCCACAGUGGGACUGAGAUACGGCCCAGACUCCUACGGGAGGCAGCAGUGGGGAAUAUUGCACAAUGGGCGCAAGCCUGAUGCAGCAACGCCGCGUGCGGGAUGACGGCCUUCGGGUUGUAAACCGCUUUCAGCAGGGACGAAGCUUUUUGUGACGGUACCUGCAGAAGAAGCACCGGCUAACUACGUG
This 465-nucleotide ribosomal RNA is filed under the name uncultured bacterium. RNAcentral describes it as "partial 16S ribosomal RNA". It matches the Rfam family "Bacterial small subunit ribosomal RNA", at positions 28 to 507 of the family's 1533-position model. The record is from RNAcentral.